UAAUUUUUUAAACAAAAUUAUUCGCCAGAGUACUACUAGCAAUAGCCUGAAACUCAAAGGACUUGGCGGUGCUUCAUAUCCCUCUAGAGGAGCCUGUCCUAUAAACGAUAAACCCCGAUAGACCUUACCAACCCUAGCUAAUACAGCCUAUAUACCGCCAUCCUCAGCAAACCCUGANAAAGGAAAUAUAGUAAGCAAGAUUGUUAAAAUACAAAAACGUUAGGUCAAGGUGUAGCUUAUGAGUUGGAAAGAGAUGGGCUACAUUUUCUCAAAACAGAAAAAAAAACGAACAUUCUUAUGAUAUUAAGAGUUAAAGGAGGAUUUAGUAGUAA
This 332-nucleotide ribosomal RNA is filed under the name Phataginus tricuspis (Tree pangolin). Its description in RNAcentral is "partial small subunit ribosomal RNA". It matches the Rfam family "Bacterial small subunit ribosomal RNA", at positions 848 to 1341 of the family's 1533-position model. Lineage: Eukaryota; Metazoa; Chordata; Mammalia; Pholidota; Manidae. The record is from RNAcentral.